Mycena sp. CBHHK59/15 is the source of this 91-nucleotide non-coding RNA. The record is from the annotation of a GenBank genome assembly. Lineage: Eukaryota; Fungi; Basidiomycota; Agaricomycetes; Agaricales; Mycenaceae.
GGCUCGGUGGCGGAGGGUCCGCAUCUGCUGCAUUUGUCUGAGUCUUCGAAGCUGAAAGCAGAAGGUGCUCGUUCGAUUCGAGCCCGAGCCA